This 2924-nucleotide ribosomal RNA is filed under the name Klebsiella pneumoniae DMC1097. Its description in RNAcentral is "bacterial LSU rRNA". It matches the Rfam family "Bacterial large subunit ribosomal RNA". Lineage: Bacteria; Pseudomonadati; Pseudomonadota; Gammaproteobacteria; Enterobacterales; Enterobacteriaceae. The record is from RNAcentral.
GGGUUGUGAGGUUAAGCGACUAAGCGUACACGGUGGAUGCCCUGGCAGUCAGAGGCGAUGAAGGACGUGCUAAUCUGCGAAAAGCGUCGGUAAGGUGAUAUGAACCGUUACAGCCGGCGAUGUCCGAAUGGGGAAACCCAGUGCAAUUCGUUGCACUAUCGUUAACUGAAUACAUAGGUUAACGAGGCGAACCGGGGGAACUGAAACAUCUAAGUACCCCGAGGAAAAGAAAUCAACCGAGAUUCCCCCAGUAGCGGCGAGCGAACGGGGAGCAGCCCAGAGUCUGAAUCAGCUUGUGUGUUAGUGGAACGGUCUGGAAAGUCCGACGGUACAGGGUGAUAGUCCCGUACACCAAAAUGCACAGGUUGUGAACUCGAAGAGUAGGGCGGGACACGUGGUAUCCUGUCUGAAUAUGGGGGGACCAUCCUCCAAGGCUAAAUACUCCUGACUGACCGAUAGUGAACCAGUACCGUGAGGGAAAGGCGAAAAGAACCCCGGCGAGGGGAGUGAAAAAGAACCUGAAACCGUGUACGUACAAGCAGUGGGAGCACCUUCGGGUGUGACUGCGUACCUUUUGUAUAAUGGGUCAGCGACUUAUAUUCUGUAGCAAGGUUAACCGUAUAGGGGAGCCGCAGGGAAACCGAGUCUUAACUGGGCGUUAAGUUGCAGGGUAUAGACCCGAAACCCGGUGAUCUAGCCAUGGGCAGGUUGAAGGUUGGGUAACACUAACUGGAGGACCGAACCGACUAAUGUUGAAAAAUUAGCGGAUGACUUGUGGCUGGGGGUGAAAGGCCAAUCAAACCGGGAGAUAGCUGGUUCUCCCCGAAAGCUAUUUAGGUAGCGCCUCGUGAACUCAUCUUCGGGGGUAGAGCACUGUUUCGGCUAGGGGGUCAUCCCGACUUACCAACCCGAUGCAAACUACGAAUACCGAAGAAUGUUAUCACGGGAGACACACGGCGGGUGCUAACGUCCGUCGUGAAGAGGGAAACAACCCAGACCGCCAGCUAAGGUCCCAAAGUCAUGGUUAAGUGGGAAACGAUGUGGGAAGGCACAGACAGCCAGGAUGUUGGCUUAGAAGCAGCCAUCAUUUAAAGAAAGCGUAAUAGCUCACUGGUCGAGUCGGCCUGCGCGGAAGAUGUAACGGGGCUAAACCAUGCACCGAAGCUGCGGCAGCGACACUAUGUGUUGUUGGGUAGGGGAGCGUUCUGUAAGCCUGCGAAGGUGUGCUGUGAGGCAUGCUGGAGGUAUCAGAAGUGCGAAUGCUGACAUAAGUAACGAUAAAGCGGGUGAAAAGCCCGCUCGCCGGAAGACCAAGGGUUCCUGUCCAACGUUAAUCGGGGCAGGGUGAGUCGACCCCUAAGGCGAGGCCGAAAGGCGUAGUCGAUGGGAAACAGGUUAAUAUUCCUGUACUUGGUGUUACUGCGAAGGGGGGACGGAGAAGGCUAUGUUAGCCGGGCGACGGUUGUCCCGGUUUAAGCAUGUAGGCUGGUUAUCCAGGCAAAUCCGGAUAAUCAAGGCUGAGGUGUGAUGACGAGGCACUACGGUGCUGAAGUAACAAAUGCCCUGCUUCCAGGAAAAGCCUCUAAGCAUCAGGUAACAUCAAAUCGUACCCCAAACCGACACAGGUGGUCAGGUAGAGAAUACCAAGGCGCUUGAGAGAACUCGGGUGAAGGAACUAGGCAAAAUGGUGCCGUAACUUCGGGAGAAGGCACGCUGGUGUGUAGGUGAAGUCCCUGCGGAUGGAGCUGAGACCAGUCGAAGAUACCAGCUGGCUGCAACUGUUUAUUAAAAACACAGCACUGUGCAAACACGAAAGUGGACGUAUACGGUGUGACGCCUGCCCGGUGCCGGAAGGUUAAUUGAUGGGGUUAUCCGUAAGGAGAAGCUCUUGAUCGAAGCCCCGGUAAACGGCGGCCGUAACUAUAACGGUCCUAAGGUAGCGAAAUUCCUUGUCGGGUAAGUUCCGACCUGCACGAAUGGCGUAAUGAUGGCCAGGCUGUCUCCACCCGAGACUCAGUGAAAUUGAACUCGCUGUGAAGAUGCAGUGUACCCGCGGCAAGACGGAAAGACCCCGUGAACCUUUACUAUAGCUUGACACUGAACAUUGAGCCUUGAUGUGUAGGAUAGGUGGGAGGCUUUGAAGCGUGGACGCCAGUCUGCGUGGAGCCAACCUUGAAAUACCACCCUUUAAUGUUUGAUGUUCUAACGUUGGCCCCUGACCGGGGUUGCGGACAGUGUCUGGUGGGUAGUUUGACUGGGGCGGUCUCCUCCCAAAGCGUAACGGAGGAGCACGAAGGUUAGCUAAUCCUGGUCGGACAUCAGGAGGUUAGUGCAAUGGCAUAAGCUAGCUUGACUGCGAGCGUGACGGCGCGAGCAGGUGCGAAAGCAGGUCAUAGUGAUCCGGUGGUUCUGAAUGGAAGGGCCAUCGCUCAACGGAUAAAAGGUACUCCGGGGAUAACAGGCUGAUACCGCCCAAGAGUUCAUAUCGACGGCGGUGUUUGGCACCUCGAUGUCGGCUCAUCACAUCCUGGGGCUGAAGUAGGUCCCAAGGGUAUGGCUGUUCGCCAUUUAAAGUGGUACGCGAGCUGGGUUUAGAACGUCGUGAGACAGUUCGGUCCCUAUCUGCCGUGGGCGCUGGAGAAUUGAGGGGGGGCUGCUCCUAGUACGAGAGGACCGGAGUGGACGCAUCACUGGUGUUCGGGUUGUCAUGCCAAUGGCACUGCCCGGUAGCUAAAUGCGGAAGAGAUAAGUGCUGAAAGCAUCUAAGCACGAAACUUGCCCCGAGAUGAGUUCUCCCUGAGACUAUAAGUCUCCUGAAGGAACGUUAAAGACGAUGACGUUGAUAGGCCGGGUGUGUAAGCGCAGCGAUGCGUUGAGCUAACCGGUACUAAUGAACCGUGAGGCUUAACCUUACAACGCCGAAG